Arthromyces matolae is the source of this 102-nucleotide non-coding RNA. Lineage: Eukaryota; Fungi; Basidiomycota; Agaricomycetes; Agaricales; Lyophyllaceae. The record is from the annotation of a GenBank genome assembly.
GCAUUAAUGGGGUAGUGGUAACCUGGGUCGUUGCCAUAGACAUAUAGCUUCUACUGCGGUUUUCAUAUCGACCCGCCGGGGGUUCGAUUCCCUCUUAAUGCA